This 484-nucleotide ribosomal RNA is filed under the name uncultured bacterium. Its description in RNAcentral is "partial 16S ribosomal RNA". It matches the Rfam family "Bacterial small subunit ribosomal RNA", at positions 29 to 507 of the family's 1533-position model. The record is from RNAcentral.
AUUGAACGCUGGCGGCAUGCUUUACACAUGCAAGUCGAACGGCGGCGCGGGCUUCGGCCUGGCGGCGAGUGGCGAACGGGUGAGUAAUACAUCGGAACGUGCCCAGUAGUGGGGGAUAGCUCGGCGAAAGCCGGAUUAAUACCGCAUACGACCUGAGGGUGAAAGCGGGGGAUCUUCGGACCUCGCGCUAUUGGAGCGGCCGUUGGCAGAUUAGCUGGUUGGUGGGGUAAAGGCCUACCAAGGCGACGAUCUGUAGCUGGUCUGAGAGGACGACCAGCCACACUGGGACUGAGACACGGCCCAGACUCCUACGGGAGGCAGCAGUGGGGAAUUUUGGACAAUGGGCGAAAGCCUGAUCCAGCAAUGCCGCGUGUGGGAUGAAGGCCUUCGGGUUGUAAAGCACUUUUGGCGGGAACGAAAAGGACUGUGCCAAUACCACGGUUCGAUGACGGUACCCGCAGAAUAAGCACCGGCUAACUACGUG